AUCAGUCUCAUUCUCCAUCGAACUAGAGUCCAAACCAUACACUUUCCUGAUUAACUUAACUGCAGCCUCAGACUACAAUUGGCCAUGGAUCAUCCACAUACAGGUGAAACAUCAGUUGUCUCACUGGUGAUUUGGAGAAUGGUGCUGACCUUGAAUGGUAGUUGAGCACUUGCUACAUUGAGCCUGCACCACUGGUUCAGAGGAGCUGCUAUUAUGCCCACAUUUGGAAACUUUAUUUCUUGCUCUAUCCAUGUUAAUGGGCUUGGUGAAUGAUCGCCUGGAAUGGGGAGGGGCACAUGUCCACCCCGGGUUGCAUUGCCAGAACCACAGCCCAGCCAUGUAUGCUGUUCCUGUACCAUCUGUCCUUGAGGGCAUGGGAGACUGAGUGGACCCAGGAUGUCUUGUAAGAGGGUGCCACCCACAACCUUGUGUCCAGUUGUCCACCUUGCUGUUGCAUUGUGCAGUAUCCUGGAGGCUGCAGAAGACAACCAACUGAAGGUGUGGCUACUUUAGCUCGACGAUGGUUCUUUACCUUGCUACAGUAUCCUGGAGGCUGCAGAAGAUGGCCAACUGAAGCAGGUGUGACCUCCAUUCAAAUCGGUGGGUGAGGAAGAUGAAGUUUUCACUUGGUGCAUCGAUUUCAAAUGUUCAUUCUGAUAUUUUCUAAAUAAACUUUUGAACUUG
Long non-coding RNA from Alosa alosa (allis shad), 684 nucleotides. RefSeq lists it as uncharacterized. The record is from RefSeq and is a predicted model, not a curated record. Lineage: Eukaryota; Metazoa; Chordata; Actinopteri; Clupeiformes; Clupeidae. The transcript has 12 exons.